ACUCGAAGCUGAAAGUGACAGAUUGGAAGCCACAAUCCAGCAACAAAGCAGACUGAUUGAAGCCCUUCAGAGACGCCGGCAAGCCUCUGCCUCAGCUCUUAAUCCCCAGAAGACCUUGGUAACUCCCUUUCAGUCAGCACAGAUGACCGCAGACGGGCCUCCACACCAGCAGUGUCAGUGUGAGAGAACGGAACAGAAGCAGCAGGUCAUGUUGAAACACCCAGUCGAAGUACACCUCCAGCAGGAAAAGAAAAGCAACAGCAAACUGCAGAGAGAACAUGACAGGUUAAGGAGGCAUCUGAAUGCAGCUCUGAAGAUCCUAAGCAAAUAUGAGGCCAGAGAAAGAGAGACCCAGUUUAAUACUGCAGGAGACACGAUGAGCAGCUGCUCUGAAGGGGCCCGUGAAGCUGACAAAUUAACAGCAAAGCUCAAAGAACUUUCGCAGCAGCUGGAGAUGGAGUCUGAAAAACGCAGGCAGCUAGUAGCACAAACUUGCAACCUGCAAGAAGAGCUGUCUGCUCUGCGUGGGUCUCAGGAAAAACUGGAGAAGACCAAUGUCCAGCUGCAAAAAGAGGUGGCAUACCUCAAAGAUCUUCUGAAGACUUACAAGACACAGGCAGCCUCUCUGGACACGCAAGAUCUGACAAGAUUCCCUCCUCGUGCUUCUCUGAGAAAGAAGCUAACGCACAGAAGCAGAGAUGCUGACUCUGAAGAGGAGGAUGUUAGGGAAAAGACACUGCAAGAGCAUACUUCUCCAUAUGAGUCCAUUGAGGCAAGGCUGGCAAGUUACAAGCACUACUAUCUGCAGGAAGUAAACCUCAGAAGACGCCUAGAAAAGGACCUCCAAAAAGCUCAUCAGAGACUCAACGAAGCCAACGCUAAGCUCAACCAGAAGGCCGGAAGCACCACUGAAGCCUGCGUGGCUAAGGUCAGCAUUCAUUAAUGUUAUUCUCAACCCCUCUGAAAGAAUAUCUGUGGGCAAGCUUGUGCUUCUGAGCCUCAAGUUAGAAUCCCUUUGUGGUUCCAAAACACACCGUCUUUAUGCUAAAACAACUGCUAAGCAUCAGAAGAGUGCACAACUGUAUGGGGGAGGGCUGAAGACCUCUGGUCAUUGGGGGGUGUGCAAAAUACAGAGUGCCCUUCUUCUUCUGAAAAGUCAUAAGGGAAAGAGUGAAGGGAAAGACAGGGAGAAUAGACAAAAUGACCGUAAAAAUGGUAAUGAGAGAACGGGCACCAGACAAA
Molecule: long non-coding RNA, 1242 nt
Filed under: Anas platyrhynchos platyrhynchos (common mallard)
Lineage: Eukaryota; Metazoa; Chordata; Aves; Anseriformes; Anatidae
Description: lncRNA (ENSAPLG00000016843.1)
Source: RNAcentral